RNAcentral lists this non-coding RNA (101 nucleotides) under Paraliobacillus sp. PM-2. RNAcentral describes it as "SAM riboswitch aptamer (S box leader)". It matches the Rfam family "SAM riboswitch aptamer (S box leader)". Rfam says of the family: The SAM riboswitch is found upstream of a number of genes which code for proteins involved in methionine or cysteine biosynthesis in Gram-positive bacteria. The SAM riboswitch acts at the level of transcription termination control. The predicted structure consists of a complex stem-loop region followed by a single stem loop terminator region. The record is from Rfam by way of RNAcentral. RNAcentral also lists the same sequence under 1 other name. Lineage: Bacteria; Bacillati; Bacillota; Bacilli; Caryophanales; Bacillaceae.
UUCUUAUCCAGAGAGGUGGAGGGACUAGGCCCUUUGAAACCUCAGCAACAGGCCCGCGUUGGUACUGUGCUAAUUCCAGAGUUUUGUACUGAAGAUAAGAA